CCUACGGGUGGCUGCAGUGGGGGAUAUUGCACAAUGGGGGAAACCCUGAUGCAGCGACGCCGCGUGGGCGAAGAAGUAUUUCGGUAUGUAAAGCCCUAUCAGCAGGGAAGAAGAAAUGACGGUACCUGCGUCAGAAGCACCGGCUAACUACGUGCCAGCAGCCGCGGUAAUACGUAUGGUGCAAGCGUUAUCCGGAUUUACUGGGUGUAAAGGGGGCGCAGACGGCGAUGCAAGCCAGGAGUGAAAGCCCGGGGCCCAACCCCGGGACUGCCCUUGGAACUGCGUGGCUGGAGUGCAGGAGGGGCAGGCGGAAUUCCUGGUGUAGCGGUGAAAUGCGUAGAUAUCAGGAGGAACACCAGUGGCGAAGGCGGCCUGCUGGACUGCAACUGACGCUGAAGCACGAAAGCGUGGGUAUCGAACAGGAUUAGAUACCCUAGUAGUC
Molecule: ribosomal RNA, 442 nt
Filed under: uncultured bacterium
Lineage: Bacteria
Description: partial 16S ribosomal RNA
Rfam family: Bacterial small subunit ribosomal RNA
Source: RNAcentral